ACUCAAAUGAAUUGACGGGGGACCGCACAAGCGGUGGAGCAUGUGGCUUAAUUCGAUGCAACGCGAAGAACCUUACCAGGGCUUGACAUGUAUCUGCAAGCUGCCGAAAAGCAGUCGCUUUCGAAGGUGAUACACAGGUGGUGCAUGGCUGUCGUCAGCUCGUGUUGUGAAAUGUUGGGUUAAGUCCCGCAACGAGCGCAACCCUCAUGUUUUGUUGCCAGCGAGUAAUGUCGGGAACUCAAAACAAACUGCCUCUGUAAAGAGGAGGAAGGCGGGGAUGACGUCAAGUCAUCAUGCCCCUUACGCCCUGGGCUGCACACAUGCUACAAUGGCUGGUACAAAGGGUUGCUAACCUGCGAAGGUAUGCUAAUCUCAAAAAACCAGUCUCAGUUCGGAUCGGAGUCUGCAACUCGACUCCGUGAAGUUGGAAUCGCUAGUAACCGCCGGUCAGCAAUACGGCGGUGAAUACGUUCCCGGUCCUUGCACACACCGCCCGU
This 497-nucleotide ribosomal RNA is filed under the name uncultured bacterium. Its description in RNAcentral is "partial 16S ribosomal RNA". It matches the Rfam family "Bacterial small subunit ribosomal RNA", at positions 899 to 1397 of the family's 1533-position model. The record is from RNAcentral.